RNAcentral lists this long non-coding RNA (417 nucleotides) under Anser cygnoides (Swan goose). RNAcentral describes it as "lncRNA (ENSACDG00005002668.1)". Lineage: Eukaryota; Metazoa; Chordata; Aves; Anseriformes; Anatidae. The record is from RNAcentral.
AUGAGAGCUGAGGGAGUGAUGGCACAGAAGGCUAAAUCUUCACCAUCCCCCUGGAAAGGACCUCUAUCAAGCACGCUCGUGUCUGAAUUACAUCUCAGCCCUAGGGAAGAUGGUUUCUUCAGUUCCCCUUCAAGCCCUCCAUUCAUGUGCUGUAGCGGGAUGAACUCAGAAAGCCCUUGCGCUCCCAGGUCUGCCUUCCUCAUUUCCUUCCACACAUUUCCAGCUGCCCUUGCCCAAAGCUGGCCAGGCACAGCCACAAAGCCCAAACCAAGCCCACAAGUGGACAGGAGCCUUCCCAGCUGCUGGAUGAUUCCUCGCCAGGACAGCAUGGGCACGAGUUUCAGUACAGCCUCACUUAUUCCUACCUGGGAUCUGCAUGGAGUCAGCACAGCCUGGGGUCAUGUCAGCAAAGCCUGA